AAAAAAACAAAACCAAGCAACUUUCACAAGAAAGCAAAUAUUGAGAUUUCCUGUGCACUGCUUCCAAACCUCAGUCAGAGGCACAUAUACUGUAUUUCAUCCAGGCAAGGCUGUUGAAGCAGAAAUUGACUUCUGAUACUGUUUCCAUCUGGGAUUCUGAUGACAGGAUUUGAUUAGAAACUGGGCCUGUACAGUCGGUAUCUGGCAUCUACAUGUUCCUUUUUUCAAGGCACUACUUAGUUCUCCCGAUGUCCUGCUCCGCGUAAACAGUGAGUUUUAGCCCCUGAUUGUUUUUCUCCUCAUUCCCAUCCUCUGCUGUUUCUACUCCACAAUAUUUUUGGCAAUUGUUGCUCAAUGAUGUGGCAUCACAGGAAGGAGACAGCGCGCAGGAAUCAGACAGGACUCGGGCGGGUCAUUUCCAACAUCACUCCCUUCCUCCGAUUCUAUCCCAGGCUUUGGACUGAUGGACUGUUGGCCCACAACAGUAAGAUAGUAUCUCUUAAUUUUGACGUUUGUGAAGCUCCUGUUCCUCCUGGAGCAUACAGUGAAUCGAGAGAGGGUCACAGCCUAGCAUUUGCUCGUAAGAGGGAGGAAAACGGAAGGGAGGAAGGAGAUGAAGCAAAGAUGAGAACAGGAAGGAGGGACAGGAAAAAAUGAGGAGGGUCAGAAAGGAAAGUAGGACAGAAAAAGCAGACACACACAAAUUUUAAGCAAAGAUUGAAGACGCUGAAUGACCUUUCAGCAAGGGCAUGGAGAAGGAGGGGCAAAUUCUUAAAACGCAGAGGAGAAAUCUCUGCAGUUCGUGAACAAGCAUGGCGGAAGUGAAAUCUGCUCAAUAGUUCUUGAGUUGGGUUACGGUAUUUGCCAAGUAAAUGGGAUGAAUACCGGGAUGGUUAUUUGAAAACAAUGGUAAAAGUCUGAGGUAAAGCACUUGAAAUACAUUUGGCAGGAAAUAACUUCCGUCUCUACUUGUGGGCAUGGACACUGAAAGUCACAUCAUUCACCGUCGUUCAUAUCAUGGUGAGGUGCUUUCGAGACGAUCACGAGGAGCCAGAAAGCAUCUCUUCAUCUCCAGAUUUAAAGUAGAUGGUUUUGCACGUCACAUAAGAUUACGUGAGAAUUUCGUUGGGAUUUUUUGUCUAACGAGUUAUAUAACAGGUUUGUGCUGUGUGUGAGGAAGGGACAAGUUCUGUUGCCCCGGUCGCAUGUGGGUGGGCGGUGACGGGGCUGGCAGGAAAGAGGAGUCUUUCUUCAUCCGUAUUGUACAGGCAAGGACCCACAUCCUCUGUGCUCCGGGGGACCUCGAGCUUCAAGAGGCUGAGGGGGUCCUGGAGGUUGCAGAGUUCUCUUGAACAAUCCAGUCUCUUCUCUGCCUCUGAGAUAAUUCCCGGAAUUUGAGUUAGACCUAGAAGGAGUUAUUAGCAAUUCUAAAAGUCGACCUUUCAUCUUCAGGAGUAAGAACUGUUAAAGGUGUCUCCUGAGACAGACAGUGGAGAAGCAGAGCCCAUAUGAAAACACAGGGCAAGUGAUCGUUAGUGUAAUGUUUGUCUCACAUCCGCAAUGGCAAUCAAUGUGUGUUCCACAAAGUUCUAGGCUGACACCAGACCCCCAGUCCUCAUUCCACAGAGCAGGCCUACUUUUAUCUGUUUUAUGUCAAGAUAUUGGGGGGGGGGAUUUUAUUUUAAUAAACGGCCUUGAAGAUUCUUUUUUUUAAUUACUGCUCUGACAUAGGACAUUUACGUUAUUGAAUUACGUUAAUAACCUCUUGCUCUCUGCAAAAGCCAUCGCCGCCCAGCUGAGCAGCUAUGCCUGAGGUUUUGGCCAAAACCCUGUAGCACUGAAAAGCCUCUCCUUGACCAGGGAACCAACAUAUGCUGACAGCAAGCAAGGCCACUGUGCUCUUAUCAGGACAGGGGAAGAGCUCUUAACGCCCCCCAAGCAAAGUGCCCUAGCCCGAAUACUGCUUACAACAGACAAUUUAUUAGAAAAACUAGGUAGGCUUUAAUUCAGGUUUUUAAAAAUGUACACU
Molecule: non-coding RNA, 2029 nt
Organism: Kogia breviceps (pygmy sperm whale)
Lineage: Eukaryota; Metazoa; Chordata; Mammalia; Artiodactyla; Physeteridae
Source: RefSeq, a predicted model, not a curated record